CAGAAUCCAACCAUUGUAGAAGUUCGGACGGAGUCGGCUCCUGUAGGAGUCCGGAAGGAGGCCGCUUACCAUAGAAGCCCAGAUGGAGAUCGGUUGUUGUAGAAGUUUGGAGCAGACCGCUUACUGUAGAAUUCCUACUGCUGGAGAAGCUCGAUCCUUGAUGAAGUUUGAAAGAGGUUCAGAGUAGAGAUCCUUCUAGUGGAGCCUGUUCAUUGUGGAAGCUCAUCUGUGGUCCAUCCACUGUAGAAGUUCAGAUGGAGCCCGACCCUUGUAGGAGUUCGGAUGAAGUCCACCUACAAUAGAAGUUCGGGGU
This 313-nucleotide long non-coding RNA is filed under the name Elaeis guineensis (African oil palm). RNAcentral's name for it is "long non-coding RNA (EGUI_LNC074778)". The record is from RNAcentral. Lineage: Eukaryota; Viridiplantae; Streptophyta; Magnoliopsida; Arecales; Arecaceae.